Molecule: non-coding RNA, 258 nt
Filed under: Rhodococcus sp. MEB064
Lineage: Bacteria; Bacillati; Actinomycetota; Actinomycetes; Mycobacteriales; Nocardiaceae
Description: partial 16S ribosomal RNA
Rfam family: Bacterial small subunit ribosomal RNA
Source: RNAcentral
AUGGUCGGUACAAAGGGUUGCCAAGCCGCGAGGUGGAGCUAAUCCCAUAAAACCGAUCGUAGUCCGGAUCGCAGUCUGCAACUCGACUGCGUGAAGUCGGAAUCGCUAGUAAUCGCGAAUCAGAAUGUCGCGGUGAAUACGUUCCCGGGCCUUGUACACACCGCCCGUCACACCAUGGGAGUGGGUUGCACCAGAAGUAGCUAGUCUAACCUUCGGGAGGACGGUUACCACGGUGUGAUUCAUGACUGGGGUGAAGUC